This 102-nucleotide Y RNA is filed under the name Carlito syrichta (Philippine tarsier). RNAcentral's name for it is "Y RNA (ENSTSYG00000028897.1)". It matches the Rfam family "Y RNA". From Rfam's summary of the family: Y RNAs are components of the Ro ribonucleoprotein particle (Ro RNP), in association with Ro60 and La proteins. The Y RNAs and Ro60 and La proteins are well conserved, but the function of the Ro RNP is not known. In humans the RNA component can be one of four small RNAs -- hY1, hY3, hY4 and hY5. Lineage: Eukaryota; Metazoa; Chordata; Mammalia; Primates; Tarsiidae. The record is from Rfam by way of RNAcentral.
GGCUGGUCCCAGGACAGUGGUGUUUACAACUAACUGAUCACAACCAGUUACAGAUUUCUUUGUUUCUUCUCCACUCCCAUUGCUUUAUCUGACUAGCCUUAA